AUUGAACGCUGGCGGCAGGCCUAACACAUGCAAGUCGAACGGUAACAGGAAGCAGCUUGCUGCUUUGCUGACGAGUGGCGGACGGGUGAGUAAUGUCUGGGAAACUGCCUGAUGGAGGGGGAUAACUACUGGAAACGGUAGCUAAUACCGCAUAACGUCGCAAGACCAAAGGGGGGGACCUUCGGGCCUCUUGCCAUCGGAUGUGCCCAGAUGGGAUUAGCUAGUAGGUGGGGUAACGGCUCACCUAGGCGACGAUCCCUAGCUGGUCUGAGAGGAUGACCAGCCACACUGGAACUGAGACCGGGUCCAGACUCCUACGGGAGGCACCAGUGGGGAAUAUUGCACAAUGGGCGCAAGCCUGAUGCAGCCAUGCCGCGUGUAUGAAGAAGGCCUUCGGGUUGUAAAGUACUUUCAGCGGUGAGGAAGGGAGUAAAGUUAAUACCUUGGCUCAUUGACGUUACCCGCAGAAGAAGCACCGGCUAACUCCGUG
This 490-nucleotide ribosomal RNA is filed under the name uncultured bacterium. RNAcentral describes it as "partial 16S ribosomal RNA". It matches the Rfam family "Bacterial small subunit ribosomal RNA", at positions 30 to 507 of the family's 1533-position model. The record is from RNAcentral.